GGGUGAUUAGCUCAGUUGGCUAGAGCGUCUCGUUUACACCGAGAAGGUCGGGGGUUCGAAUCCCUCAUCACCCACCA
Molecule: transfer RNA, 77 nt
Filed under: Candidatus Saccharimonadota bacterium
Lineage: Bacteria; Candidatus Saccharimonadota
Description: tRNA-Val
Rfam family: tRNA
About the family: Transfer RNA (tRNA) molecules are approximately 80 nucleotides in length.
Source: RNAcentral